GAACGCAAAUUGCACUCUCUUCGGAGAGUAUGCCUGUUUGAGGGUCAGUAUUAAUAAAAAUCGGCGUGUUGCUUUUUUGUGACGCUCCGGAGUUUGGGUUAUCUUAUAACGAUACCUUUCGAGGUUGUUUUAAGAGGCUUAAAAUUGACAUCUUUUUUGCGCAUUUUAGACGUACAUAAAUUUUUUUUUAUUUCGUUUAUUCUAAUGCCAAAAUCUAUUAGAUGCGACCAUAUCGUGUGGUUCCGUGUCUAUAAAUUUUUUCAUGAUUUGACCUCAAAUCAGGUAGGAACACCCGCUGAACUUAAG
RNAcentral lists this unclassified non-coding RNA (306 nucleotides) under uncultured Glomeraceae. RNAcentral describes it as "sequence contains 5.8S rRNA gene". Lineage: Eukaryota; Fungi; Glomeromycota; Glomeromycetes; Glomerales; Glomeraceae. The record is from RNAcentral.